Molecule: long non-coding RNA, 249 nt
Organism: Esox lucius (northern pike)
Lineage: Eukaryota; Metazoa; Chordata; Actinopteri; Esociformes; Esocidae
Exons: 3
Source: RefSeq, a predicted model, not a curated record
CACGGAAAAAAUUUGCUCACAAACACAGACUUCUAAAGGAACAGAACAAACACAGCAAUGUUGAAGAGAACUUUGAAGUGGCCACGACGUCAACAGCUUCCAUUAACGCAGCCAAGAGUUCCUCAGGAAAUAGUAUGCCCUCAACCAGUGUGGAUAAACUUCUUUCAGGUAAAAAGCACAGCCAAUCAAUCAAAUACAUUUCAUGAAAACACUUAAGUCUGCAGUUCUCAAAAACUGCUCGUCCAGACA